UAAUGGUCUAGUUUUUGAGGUAAUCCAUGAAGUGAGCUAACUUUCAAUUUCUUGGAACUAAUGUAUGUUUCGAAAAAACUAGAAAUAGGAGAAAUACAAUAUCUGGUAAAUACGACGAUUAGAGUGUUGGAUAAGCGUUGUCAGUUUGGAUUAUCGUGCCUUGUCUCGAUUUUCUUACAUUUGCCUUUGAUUUGUUAUUAUUCCAUACUUCUUUAGGAGCUUAAGGAUUCAACAAAAGUACUCCAAACAUUUCUAUUUCUAGACAUAAAUCUCAGUUCAUUAAAUGAUUUUCCAGUUUCAUUGCGGAUAGUCCUUUGCCAAGUCUCCAAUGGUCUGCCUCUUCUUCUCGUUCCUUCCAAGUCAAGGCGGCAUGCGAGCUCCUCGUUUGUUAUAACUCUUGGCCAUCAUAUCUUAAGUAUAUUACGCAGACAUCUGUUUAUAAACGCUUGCAGCUUUGCGUUCGUUGUCGAAGUUACCAACCAAGUUUCGGAUCCGUACAGCAACACGGUCUUAACGCAAACGUUAAAAAGUUUAACCUUUGUGCGAGUUGUGAUGUUGGAGCGCCAUAUAUGUAUGUAUAUAUUUCGAAGCCUGGAGUAUGCGUUACGCGCCUUAUUUAUUUGGUUAUUAAUGUCACUUUUUGCGCCACUGACUAUGGAGAUCAUACUUCCCAAAUAGGGAAAACUGUCAACGUCUGCAAUGGUUUUAUCACCAAUUGUAAACAACGCAGCGUUGUUAGCUUUGAUACGCAUCUAUUCCGUAUUUUGACGUGAUAACGUCUUAUAAUUCGAUUUAACAGGCUGCACGCACGAAAAAAUGUGUCGUUACCUUGCUCAUUUAUCAUUACCUUGCUCAUUUGUCGUUACCUUGCUCAUUUGUCGUUACCUUGCUCAUUGCCGUUACCUUGCUCAUUGCCGUUACCUUGAAUAAACUGCAAGCGAAAGCGCGGAACGAACGACAAAGCAAACAAAACAAACGAAAGGCAACGUUCGACAUCUUGCUCUCCCCUAUUUAAGUGAGCGUAUAUAUGUAUGUAUGUAUUUGCAUAUGCCUUCUUAUUGAUUAUUAUUAAUUUGAUUUACUGGAAGAAUUUAAAAUAAAACCAAGUUUGUUAAUAA
Long non-coding RNA from Anastrepha ludens (Mexican fruit fly), 1118 nucleotides. RefSeq lists it as uncharacterized. NCBI's taxonomy places the organism in Eukaryota, Metazoa, Arthropoda, Insecta, Diptera, Tephritidae. The transcript is spliced from 2 exons. The record is from RefSeq and is a predicted model, not a curated record.